Non-coding RNA from Metarhizium majus ARSEF 297, 441 nucleotides. The record is from Rfam. NCBI's taxonomy places the organism in Eukaryota, Fungi, Ascomycota, Sordariomycetes, Hypocreales, Clavicipitaceae.
UCUGCGAAACCUAUAAUAGUAGGCAAUUUAAAUAAACAUCUUAGCAGGUACAGAAUUUAAUCUCAGACAAGGCGUUUUAUACGUUUUAUAUUGUACAAAUUGGGGGACCAUGAAGGUUUUAUCAGUGAGUAUGUAGACUCGGAAUGGCAAAGAUGUAUUUUGAAUGAUCAGACAUAGAAUGAUAAGGUUGUAUGUCGAAGGGGAAACAGCCCAGAACAAGAGUUAAGGUUCCUAAAUUAUUAGUUGAGUGAAAUUAAGAAGGUUUUUAUUAAAGUCGACAAGGAGAUAGGCUUAGAAGCAGCCAUAAUUUUAUGACCUCGUAACAGAGCGCUUGUUAAGUUAUAAAAGCAUCGAAAAUAUAACGGAUCUAAACAAUAUACCGAAACCUUGUCCAUUAUAUAUUAUAAUAAUAAUAUUAUUAUAAUUCAAUGGGGUAGCAGA